RNAcentral lists this ribosomal RNA (286 nucleotides) under uncultured bacterium. RNAcentral's name for it is "partial 16S ribosomal RNA". It matches the Rfam family "Bacterial small subunit ribosomal RNA", at positions 333 to 616 of the family's 1533-position model. The record is from RNAcentral.
UCUCUCCUACGGGGGGCAGCAGUGAGGAAUAUUGGUCAAUGGGCGAGAGCCUGAACCAGCCAAGUCGCGUGAGGGAAGACGGUCCUAUGGAUUGUAAACCUCUUUUGCCGGGGAGCAAAAAGCGGUACGUGUACCGCAUCGAGAGUACCCGGCGAAAAAGCAUCGGCUAACUCCGUGCCAGCAGCCGCGGUAAUACGGAGGAUGCGAGCUUUAUCCGGAUUUAUUGGGUUUAAAGGGUGCGUAGGCGGCUUUUUAAGUCAGCGGUAAACUGUCCGGGCGCAACCCG